RNAcentral lists this ribosomal RNA (468 nucleotides) under uncultured bacterium. RNAcentral's name for it is "partial 16S ribosomal RNA". It matches the Rfam family "Bacterial small subunit ribosomal RNA", at positions 28 to 507 of the family's 1533-position model. The record is from RNAcentral.
GACGAACGCUGGCGGCGUGCUUAACACAUGCAAGUCGAACGGAAAGGCCCUGCUUUUGUGGGGUGCUCGAGUGGCGAACGGGUGAGUAACACGUGAGUAACCUGCCCUUGACUUUGGGAUAACUUCAGGAAACUGGGGCUAAUACCGGAUAGGAGCUCCUGCUGCAUGGUGGGGGUUGGAAAGUUUCGGCGGUUGGGGAUGGACUCGCGGCUUAUCAGCUUGUUGGUGGGGUAGUGGCUUACCAAGGCUUUGACGGGUAGCCGGCCUGAGAGGGUGACCGGCCACAUUGGGACGGAGAUACGGCCCAGACUCCUACGGGAGGCAGCAGUGGGGAAUAUGGCACAAUGGGCGGAAGCCUGAUGCAGCAACGCCGCGUGCGGGAUGACGGCCUUCGGGUUGUAAACCGCUUUCGCCUGUGACGAAGCGUGAGUGACGGUAAUGGGUAAAGAAGCACCGGCUAACUACGUG